AAAGUCGUAACAAGGUUUCCGUAGGUGAACCUGCGGAAGGAUCAUUAAAAUGGUGAAAAUAGUCAUGUGGGGUGACGGGGAUUGGCGAGGGUUAGGGUGGCGGUUGGGAGACGGUUGGCAUUGGGCGACGGAUUGAUCAAAUCAAACAUGUCUGAUACGCAAAUAUCAAAUACAACUUUUAACAAUGGAUCUCUAGGCUCUU
This 202-nucleotide unclassified non-coding RNA is filed under the name Basidiomycota sp. RNAcentral's name for it is "partial contains small subunit ribosomal RNA, internal transcribed spacer 1, and 5.8S ribosomal RNA". The stretch from base 1 to 47 matches the Rfam family "Eukaryotic small subunit ribosomal RNA", at positions 1785 to 1831 of the family's 1831-position model. Lineage: Eukaryota; Fungi; Basidiomycota. The record is from RNAcentral.